This 886-nucleotide long non-coding RNA is filed under the name Numida meleagris (helmeted guineafowl). RNAcentral's name for it is "lncRNA (ENSNMEG00000004994.1)". Lineage: Eukaryota; Metazoa; Chordata; Aves; Galliformes; Numididae. The record is from RNAcentral.
GUACCUAUUGGAUCGCGGCGACGCCGUGGCCAAAGCUUCCAAAAACCCCCACGUGGUGAGAGCGACUUGGGGGGCCGGGAAUGGGGGAGCUAUGGGGCGCUGUGGGGCGCUGUGGGGCGCUGUGGGUCUCUAUGGGGCGCUAUGGGUCGAUAUGGGGUCUCUAUGGGGUCUCUGUGGGGUGCUGUGGGGCGCUAUGGGGCACUGUGGGUCUCUAUGGGGUCUCUAUGGGUCGAUAUGGGGCGCUAUGGGGCACUAUGGGGCGCUGUGGGUCUCUAUGGGGUCUCUAUGGGGCACUGUGGGUCUCUGUGGGGCACUGUGGGUCUCUAUGGGGUGAUAUGGGGUGCUGUGGGGCACUUAUGGGGCCUCUAUGGGGCGCUAUGGGUAUCUGUGGGGCGCUGUGGGGUCUCUAUGGGACGAUAUGGGGCACUAUGGGGCUCUAUGGGGUCUCUAUGGGUCUCUAUGGGUCUCUGUGGCUCUCUAUGGGUCUCUAUGGGGCGCUUAUGGGUCUCUAUGGGGUCUCUAUGGGGCGCUGUGGGGUCUCUAUGGGGCACUAUGGGUCUCUAUGGGGCGCUAUGGGGUGCAGUGGGUCUCUAUGGGGCGCUAUGGGGGCUGUAUAGGUCUCUAUGGGUCUCUAUGGGGGCUCUAUGGGGAGCUAUGGGUCUCUAUGGGGCACUAUGGGGUGUCUAUGUGUCUCUAUGGGGUGCUAUGGGGUCUCUAUGGGGCAGUGUGGGGUCUCUAUGGGUCUCUAUGGGACAUUAUGGGUCUCUGUGGGGCACUAUGGGUCGAUAUGGGGUCUCUAUGGGGCGCUGUGGGGCGCCAUGGGGCGCUAUGGGGCACUGUGGGUCUCUAUGGGGCACUAUGGGUCGAUAUGGGGUCUCUAUGGGGC